UGAUCCGGUAAAUCGGUACAGAGACGGGGUGCCUGACAUCGUCAGAUUGCUACCAUUGUACUGUUGCACGGUAGCCCCCUGUAGCGAAAGGGAAUCGGGUUAAUAUUCCCGACCCUGCCCACGGAGAUUGAUGCAUUCUGGCUCCGGUCAGUUUGUAUCUAGCGCGGUAACGAAUCGACCUCGGAGACGUCGGCGAGAGUUCUGGGAAGAGUUCUCUUUUCUUUGUUAGGAGUGCACCAUCCCUGGAACGGUUGUCGGAGAUAGGGACUAGCCUCCGUAAAGCACCACCCUUCUUGUGGUGUCCGGAACGCUCUUGUCGGCCCUUGAAAUCGAGCGA
Molecule: ribosomal RNA, 337 nt
Filed under: Hediste diversicolor
Lineage: Eukaryota; Metazoa; Annelida; Polychaeta; Phyllodocida; Nereididae
Description: LSU rRNA
Rfam family: Eukaryotic large subunit ribosomal RNA
Source: RNAcentral